RNAcentral lists this ribosomal RNA (352 nucleotides) under uncultured bacterium. Its description in RNAcentral is "bacterial SSU rRNA". It matches the Rfam family "Bacterial small subunit ribosomal RNA", at positions 8 to 350 of the family's 1533-position model. The record is from RNAcentral.
AGAGUUUGAUCAUGGCUCAGGAUGAACGCUAGCUACAGGCUUAACACAUGCAAGUCGAGGGGAAACGACAUCGAAAGCUUGCUUUUGAUGGGCGUCGACCGGCGCACGGGUGAGUAACGCGUAUCCAACCUGCCCGCCACUUGGGGAUAACCUUGCGAAAGUAAGACUAAUACCCAAUGACGUCUCUAGAAGACAUCUGAAGGAGAUUAAAGAUUUAUCGGUGAUGGAUGGGGAUGCGUCUGAUUAGCUUGUUGGCGGGGUAACGGCCACAAGGCGACGAUCAGUAGGGGUUCUGAGAGGAAGGUCCCCCANAUUGGAACUGAGACACGGUCCAAAACUCCUACGGGAGGCA